Molecule: non-coding RNA, 434 nt
Organism: Xyrichtys novacula (pearly razorfish)
Lineage: Eukaryota; Metazoa; Chordata; Actinopteri; Labriformes; Labridae
Source: the annotation of a GenBank genome assembly
GAGACGGAGUGAGAUUAGAGCUCACAGGAGGAACGAAGGGAGGGAGGGACGGACGGACGGGGGGCAUUAACCUGGACCCACAUCCUGCCCUGAGCAUCUUUAUUUUGUGAGUUUACCUGCAGGCUGCUUUUAGGAUUUUAAUGUCACGCAAAGUCACGUCUGUGCAGAGGUGAUGCAGAUUUAUUUGUAUAUUUAAUAAAAGUAUUGUUAAAGCCCUGACCCGGUCGACCCAGGUCCUGGUUCUCCUCCUAAAACCAUCCGAGCUUCAUCACGUCCGUCACUCUGCAGAUGCUCUCUCUCAGGCCACAUGUGACCCGUCGGAGGGGGAACCGGGAAGUACAGCGGCGCGAGCUCUGGGGGUAAAGACGGCGAGGCAAAGAGGAAAAAAAAACAGAUGGCUGGACGGGACCAGGGGAGGACGGGUCACGUGACGG